RNAcentral lists this transfer RNA (73 nucleotides) under Clostridiales bacterium CHKCI006. It matches the Rfam family "tRNA". Rfam says of the family: Transfer RNA (tRNA) molecules are approximately 80 nucleotides in length. Their secondary structure includes four short double-helical elements and three loops (D, anti-codon, and T loops). Further hydrogen bonds mediate the characteristic L-shaped molecular structure. tRNAs have two regions of fundamental functional importance: the anti-codon, which is responsible for specific mRNA codon recognition, and the 3' end, to which the tRNAs corresponding amino acid is attached (by aminoacyl-tRNA synthetases). tRNAs cope with the degeneracy of the genetic code in two manners: having more than one tRNA (with a specific anti-codon) for a particular amino acid; and 'wobble' base-pairing, i.e. permitting non-standard base-pairing at the 3rd anti-codon position. Lineage: Bacteria; Bacillati; Bacillota; Clostridia; Eubacteriales. The record is from Rfam by way of RNAcentral.
GCUUGAAUAGCUCAGUCGGUAGAGCAAUCGGCUGUUAACCGAUCGGUCGUAGGUUCGAGUCCUACUUCAAGCG